AUGGGAACGCGAAGAACCUUACCUAGACUUGACAUCUUCUGCAUUAAUCGUAAUGGGUGAAAUCCCUUCGGGGACAGAAUGACAGGUGGUGCAUGGUUGUCGUCAGCUCGUGUCGUGAGAUGUUGGGUUAAGUCCCGCAACGAGCGCAACCCCUAUUAUUAGUUGCUAACAUUAAGUUGAGCACUCUAGUGAGACUGCCCGGGUUAACCGGGAGGAAGGUGGGGAUGACGUCAAAUCAUCAUGCCCCUUAUGUCUAGGGCUACACACGUGCUACAAUGGUGGGAACAAAGAGAUGCAAUACCGCAAGGUGGAGCUAAACUCAAAACCCCAUCCCAGUUCGGAUUGUAGGCUGAAACUCGCCUACAUGAAGCUGGAGUUGCUAGUAAUCGCGAAUCAGAAUGUCGCGGUGAAUACGUUCCCGGGUCUUGUACACACCG
Molecule: ribosomal RNA, 437 nt
Filed under: uncultured bacterium
Lineage: Bacteria
Description: bacterial SSU rRNA
Rfam family: Bacterial small subunit ribosomal RNA
Source: RNAcentral